CAUGCACUGGUGGGGUCCCUUGGCCUGGCCUGUGGGGAUCAGGUCGAAACUGGCUCUCCCACAGUCCCGGAUUGUGAGAGGGCACAGGCCAGGCCAAGGGACCCUACCAGUGCAUG
Non-coding RNA from Myotis lucifugus (little brown bat), 116 nucleotides. NCBI's taxonomy places the organism in Eukaryota, Metazoa, Chordata, Mammalia, Chiroptera, Vespertilionidae. The record is from Rfam.